GAAAGGCUCAUUAAAUCAGUUAUGGUUCCUUAGAUCGUACCCACAAUUACUUGGAUAACUGUGGUAAUUCUAGAGCUAAUACAUGCAAACAGAGCUCCGACCGGAGACGGAAGGAGUGCUUUUAUUAGAUCAAAACCAAUCGGUGGCGGGUUCGCCCGUUAUCGUACAACUUGGUGACUCUGAAUAACUUUACGCUGAUCGCACGGUCAUCGCACCGGCGACGCAUCUUUCAAAUGUCUGCCUUAUCAACUGUCGAUGGUAGGUUCUGCGCCUACCAUGGUUGUAACGGGUAACGGGGAAUCAGGGUUCGAUUCCGGAGAGGGAGCCUGAGAAACGGCUACCACAUCCAAGGAAGGCAGCAGGCGCGCAAAUUACCCACUCCCGGCACGGGGAGGUAGUGACGAAAAAUAACGAUACGGGACUCAUCCGAGGCCCCGUAAUCGGAAUGAGUACACUCUAAACCCUUUAACGAGGAUCAAUUGGAGGGCAAGUCUGGUGCC
RNAcentral lists this ribosomal RNA (500 nucleotides) under Trigonopterus sp. 631 MB-2015. RNAcentral's name for it is "SSU rRNA". It matches the Rfam family "Eukaryotic small subunit ribosomal RNA", at positions 91 to 568 of the family's 1831-position model. The record is from RNAcentral. Lineage: Eukaryota; Metazoa; Arthropoda; Insecta; Coleoptera; Curculionidae. RNAcentral also lists the same sequence under 1 other name.